AUGCCUUAGUACGGCGAGUGAGCGGCAAAAGCUCAAAUUUGAAAUCUGGUACCUUCGGUGCCCGAGUUGUAAUUUGGAGAGGGCAACUUUGGGGCCGUUCCUUGUCUAUGUUCCUUGGAACAGGACGUCAUAGAGGGUGAGAAUCCCGUGUGGCGAGGAGUGCGGUUCUUUGUAAAGUGCCUUCGAAGAGUCGAGUUGUUUGGGAAUGCAGCUCUAAGUGGGUGGUAAAUUCCAUCUAAAGCUAAAUAUUGGCGAGAGACCGAUAGCGAACAAGUACAGUGAUGGAAAGAUGAAAAGAACUUUGAAAAGAGAGUGAAAAAGUACGUGAAAUUGUUGAAAGGGAAGGGCAUUUGAUCAGACAUGGUGUUUUGUGCCCUCUGCUCCUUGUGGGUAGGGGAAUCUCGCAUUUCACUGGGCCAGCAUCAGUUUUGGUGGCAGGAUAAAUCCAUAGGAAUGUAGCUUGCCUCGGUAAGUAUUAUAGCCUGUGGGAAUACUGCCAGCUGGGACUGAGGACUGCGACGUAAGUCAAGGAUGCUGGCAUAAUGGUUAUAUGCCGCCCGUC
RNAcentral lists this ribosomal RNA (562 nucleotides) under Saccharomyces cerevisiae (brewer's yeast). RNAcentral describes it as "eukaryotic LSU rRNA". It matches the Rfam family "Eukaryotic large subunit ribosomal RNA", at positions 73 to 653 of the family's 3401-position model. The record is from RNAcentral. Lineage: Eukaryota; Fungi; Ascomycota; Saccharomycetes; Saccharomycetales; Saccharomycetaceae.